CCCGGGUCUUGUACACACCGCCCGGUCACACCAUGGGAGCGGGAUGUACCAGAAGUAGGUAGGCUAACCGCAAGGGGGCCGCUUACCACGGUGCGUUUCGGUGACUGGGGUG
This 112-nucleotide ribosomal RNA is filed under the name uncultured bacterium. RNAcentral's name for it is "partial 16S ribosomal RNA". It matches the Rfam family "Bacterial small subunit ribosomal RNA", at positions 1373 to 1482 of the family's 1533-position model. The record is from RNAcentral.